RNAcentral lists this RNase P RNA (314 nucleotides) under Flavobacterium sp. RNAcentral describes it as "RNase P RNA component class A". It matches the Rfam family "Bacterial RNase P class A". Rfam says of the family: Ribonuclease P (RNase P) is a ubiquitous endoribonuclease, found in archaea, bacteria and eukarya as well as chloroplasts and mitochondria. Its best characterised activity is the generation of mature 5'-ends of tRNAs by cleaving the 5'-leader elements of precursor-tRNAs. Cellular RNase Ps are ribonucleoproteins. The record is from RNAcentral. Lineage: Bacteria; Pseudomonadati; Bacteroidota; Flavobacteriia; Flavobacteriales; Flavobacteriaceae.
ACCGCAGACCGCCUUAUCGACUCGUUUUAGGACGAGUAGGAAAGUCCGGACACCACAGAGUAGCAUAGCGGGUAACGCCCGUCGGUUCGUUUCGGCGAAUUAGGACAAGUGCAACAGAAAGUAUGUACAGGUAAUGCUGUAGUGAAACCAGGUAAACUCUAUGCGGUGAAAUUUCAAGUAUAUCGGCAUUUAAGGAUUACUCGUCCGUUGCCGAAGGGUAGAAAGAUGGAUUCCGAGAGUAAUUUCGGAACUAGAUAAAUGAUAAGGCUUCAAUUUAUUGAUGACAGAAUCCGGCUUAUAGGUCUGCUUUUUUU